UGUCAUCAGUAUUUAUCAGUAUUUAUCAAGGGCGGACAUGAGUUAACGUGCGACUUGGUGUACGACAACAACAUGGAAAAAGACAUGGAUCUAUAUUAAAUUAUAAUCGUACGCUGCGCACGACAGUGCAAGAAGACAAGUACAUACAUACGUACGAGAGUUGUCAAUCUUGUAAUUAAUAUCACGUACUUGGUACUUCCGCAUCGUUAUAUCGUCUUCUGCGAGAAAAAUGUGGUUCUAUUUUCUAUUCGUCGUUUUCGGCAUUCUCGAUGUCGCAAUGGCUUCCAACAAUUUCGACUUCGGCGACACUCUGGCGUUGAUCUUGGGAUUGACCAUUGCGAUUGUCGGAUUCUUCGCCUGCAUGGGGGCUUAUGCGAGGAGGCGAAACCACUUUGAAUCUCUGUGAUGCCUCACAAUGCUUCGCAAUCGUCUUAAACAUAUCCAACGUAUAAAAGAGAUCUGACCUAUCCAGGAAGAUGAUGGCUUAAGAAGCACAAUUCAAGGUUUUUUGUACAUACAAAGGCAGUUUUUAAAAAGAUUAGACAAUAUUUGAAAUACAUUAUAAUGACGUAUUGAUGUAUUUGUAUGUAAUGUCUAAUAUAUCUAUUAUGUAAUAAAGGAACGUGACUAAUAAA
Molecule: long non-coding RNA, 635 nt
Organism: Temnothorax curvispinosus
Lineage: Eukaryota; Metazoa; Arthropoda; Insecta; Hymenoptera; Formicidae
Exons: 2
Source: RefSeq, a predicted model, not a curated record